UCCCUGGUGGCUCAGAUAGUAAAGCGUCUGCCUACAAUGCAGGAGGCCCGGGUUCAAUCCCUGGGUUGGGAA
RNAcentral lists this transfer RNA (72 nucleotides) under Bos taurus (domestic cattle). It matches the Rfam family "tRNA". From Rfam's summary of the family: Transfer RNA (tRNA) molecules are approximately 80 nucleotides in length. RNAcentral also lists the same sequence under 1 other name. The record is from Rfam by way of RNAcentral. Lineage: Eukaryota; Metazoa; Chordata; Mammalia; Artiodactyla; Bovidae.